This 77-nucleotide transfer RNA is filed under the name Vitiosangium sp. GDMCC 1.1324. Its description in RNAcentral is "tRNA-Arg". It matches the Rfam family "tRNA". From Rfam's summary of the family: Transfer RNA (tRNA) molecules are approximately 80 nucleotides in length. Their secondary structure includes four short double-helical elements and three loops (D, anti-codon, and T loops). Lineage: Bacteria; Pseudomonadati; Myxococcota; Myxococcia; Myxococcales; Archangiaceae. RNAcentral also lists the same sequence under 1 other name. The record is from RNAcentral.
GCGCCAGUAGCUCAGCUGGAUAGAGCAUCGGCCUUCUAAGCCGGGGGUCGUGGGUUCGAGUCCCGCCUGGCGUACCA